RNA transcript from Mya arenaria, 3086 nucleotides. RefSeq lists it as uncharacterized. The record is from RefSeq and is a predicted model, not a curated record. The transcript is spliced from 10 exons. Lineage: Eukaryota; Metazoa; Mollusca; Bivalvia; Myida; Myidae.
GUUUAAAUGAGCAAGUAUUAAUUUUAUUACAUGAGCUUUUUAAAGGCCAAGUUAUAGUGAUAUACGUUUGAAUUAGAAAUGAUGUCGCUAUGGCUGAUAAGAACACUAGGACAGAUCAGUGGUGGAGGGUUGCAGAUGGGUUAAAGCGUCUGAGAAAAGGACUACAACAUUUUGUAGAUAGGAGGUCCCGCACUAUUUACACUGACUUUUGCAUUCGUGGAUUAACGUCUGCAGUAUGCAACACAUGUCAGCUUAACAUACCUUGUCCAAAUGGUGCGUAUAAAACAACUACACGGAUAGGUUACUCGUUUUGUAGCAACACAAUUUGCGAUCUUGUUUGCGAUAGGAUUCUUUCAAAGUACUUUCCGUAUAAGAAAACGCCGAUUUGGGCGAACACUGACUCGACAAAGUGGAGCGACCAAAAUAUUGGAUAUUGGAAAGUUGCAAAGUGCUUUCUGAGUUGUCCUGGUUAUUUCGACAAAGAAGGACCAAUCACAAUUGAUGCUAGUGGACUAUUUAGCAUCUGUUUGAACAACACGGAUAUACGAUCGUCCAUAUCGAACAUACAGAUAUUUGAAGAGGUGCGUGAUAUACGAAAUAAGGUCAAUCAUACUCCUGAUUACAAGCUCGACAAACAGACAGCUGAUGAAGAUUUUGGGAAAGUGAUUGAGGUGUUAAACGAUGCUAAUGAGUUACGACACGACUAUUUUGCAGUUGUAAACCGCCAACGACUAAAAAAAAUAAAAAACGAAAAUAUAGAAUGCGGUUGGAAAGAAUCAACCCGAAGGGAAUUAGACUUGAAUGAUGUCGACGCAGGCGAAGAAUACAACAUGUUCGAUUCAAGUCAAAUGUCAGUUCAGAAGAAAGAAUUCACUUCACUGCCACAUUAGUAAGGAUGUACGCCUUGCUCAGGGAGGAAAUGAAAAAGGAAACUGCAUUGAGACUAAGAAAGUAUAUUUUACCGAGAGCGUUAUUGUGCGACAAAGAUAAAGCAAGACAGUUAUGUCGUAAAGAUUUAGUUGAGGACACCUUGAAGCGGGUCAUCUUUUCGAGUUGCAAAACGACUAAAGAUGAAUUUAAAGAACAUUUUGCAAAAGACAAAGCCGGGGCUAAACUUGCAAAAAUGCUUGAACAGUGCAACGUACUCACUGAGGAAAUAGAAGUGAACCUACCCGCUCAUAGUAUUCUGCAUUCACGGUCAUCCCCUUUGGUACAGCGUGGUGGAGCAACAUCUCCUGGGAGUCUAUGAAGAAAAUACAUGCGUUGUGUUGUUGAUCUGGAUCUUUUUGCCGUUGUUUUUUUUUUUUGGGGGGGGGAGAUGAUGGAUGAUGGCAAGCCAUAGAGGCUAACUUUGUUUCUGGCACGUAUAGGCUAAUGUAGGAUUCGUCUGUGGUUUUUAUUCGCUGUAAGAACCUGUCUUCCUCUCGUUCGUAUCCACAGAUUUACUCUUGAGAGGCCAUUACACGGACCGCCUUUUCUUCUGUAGGGAGCUGUCUUGGGACCCAUAUGGCACUUACUUUUGAUAAAUUGAGAUUUUCUUUUCAGCUGAACGGAGUCGCCAGUUUUCCUUACUGUCCUCCGCCGGUCUAUUUUUAAGAUGCUCCUUCUGAACAAACGUCACUUUCACUCACGACUGACAGCCUGCCGCUCCGCUACGCCAACAUGUUCAUGUCCGUCACUAAAACGUCCAUGCCAGCGAACUACCAAAGAGCUUGAACAUGUUGGCUUUGAUUUAUCCUGUGUUAGAAACUUAGGAGUCAUUCCGCUGCGAACAAAGUGUUUGAUUACAGCCCGCUGCUCCGUGCGUGACGUCAACGUUGGAGUUUUUCUCGACAUCUUGGAAAUGCCUUUUUACUUCCGUUGACCGUUACAAACUUGUUUACAGUUAGAUGACGUCAAUAAUUUGUGCAGUUAUGCAGAUAACGUCAUACUGUUGUUAUAUGUUUUAACGUAGCGAUUUUGCGUUUAUUAUUCAGACGGAGUAGUAUGUAUGAAUUGUGAAUAAUUCUCAGAAAACGUCAAUUUGAAUCGCUACAUGGGUUGUCUUGACAAAUAUUUCCCUCCUUAGUAUUUGAUUACAUGCUAGUAAUGUUAGGUUUCAAAAAGAAACUCUUGGAUAGUCUAUAAACAGAGCUAUCUUGUGUCUGUAUAUUCAUAUUAAAACGUUUUGAAAUAUAGAAUCACUCUCAAACCUUUAAGGACAUCCCUCGUAUAUUGCAUGCUUAAGCUUACCAAUACCGAAAAUGUUCAAAUUUCCACUUAUACAUCCAGACCAAAAAUGAAAAGUCAUAAGUGUACUUUGCGUAAAUGUGAAGACACAAAUCUAAACUAAGAUACUCCUGCUCCGAUUACCAAACAAGGUAAUACCUAACAAAAGGUAGUGUAAAUUUUACAUUGCUACAGAUAUGUAAAACUAUGUUUAAAAUAAAUAUGACUAAUAUAAUGACCAUUCGAUGUGAGAAAAUAACAGACAUACAAAAUGAGAUUUAUGCAUUUAUUUCAGAAUUUCGAAAUCUGCAGAAAAGGCGAACUCAUCAACAAUUUGAAUUCAAGAAAUGCGUUCGUGAUAUAGCGAUUAUCAAUCCCUUGAGUGAUUUAGACAUGAUUGCGGACAAACUGUUAUCAGCAUAUAUCAUUAACUUGACAGAGCAUAGCUACAUUGUACAAACGCAUGACAAAAACUCCAAACUUGAUAUGUUCAAGACAGCAAUCAGUCGAUGUGACAAAGGUGUUUUUACCGAUAUUGAAAGACAAAUGUUCAGAACUUAAUAUUAAAUGCAUUCUUUAUGACGAUGAUGGAAGUCCAGAAACAGGUGCUGGGGAAAAAUCAACUGAAGAUGCCGUCUUGUCAUCCCCAAAUGUGAAAUGGUUUUUGAGUCAAGGCUGUUGCUUUAAGUCAGCAGAGAAAGGGUCGAUAAUUUUGACGUUCGGUUAUUCCGAUACCUUGACACUCACGAAUGUUUUACAAGAGUGUAAAAAUGGGAAUUUUGACGAUUUUGUGAAUGACAUUUUCACAGAUGAACCUGUUCUGAGGACAAUUCCAGAGGGGGAGCAUAACGUCCAUGUUGAAAUAAAAACUAAAGGCA